GAUGAAGAACGCAGCGAAAUGCGAUAAGUAAUGUGAAUUGCAGAAUUCAGUGAAUCAUCGAAUCUUUGAACGCACAUUGCGCCCGCCAGUAUUCUGGCGGGCAUGCCUGUUCGAGCGUCAUUUCAACCAUCAAGCCCCCGGCUUGUGUUGGGGACCUGCGGCUGCCGCAGGCCCUGAAAUGCAGUGGCGGGCUCGCUGUCACUCCGAGCGUAGUAGUUACAUCUCGCUCUGGGCGUGCUGCGGGUUCCGGCCGUUAAAAGCCUUAUUUACCCAAGGUUGACCUCGGAUCAGGUAGGAAGACCCGCUGAACUUAAGCAUAUCAAUAAGCGUAGGA
RNAcentral lists this unclassified non-coding RNA (334 nucleotides) under soil metagenome. RNAcentral's name for it is "partial contains 5.8S ribosomal RNA, internal transcribed spacer 2, and large subunit ribosomal RNA". The stretch from base 1 to 120 matches the Rfam family "5.8S ribosomal RNA", at positions 35 to 154 of the family's 154-position model. The record is from RNAcentral.